RNAcentral lists this ribosomal RNA (858 nucleotides) under uncultured bacterium. RNAcentral's name for it is "bacterial SSU rRNA". It matches the Rfam family "Bacterial small subunit ribosomal RNA", at positions 56 to 913 of the family's 1533-position model. The record is from RNAcentral.
UGCAGUUGAGCGAGAUAAGUUGUAGCAAUACGGCUUUGAAAGCGGCGCACGGGUGCGUAACACGUAUGCAACCUACCUUUUACUGGGGAAUAGCCUCUCGAAAGAGAGAUUAAUACCCCAUGAUAUGUUUUGAAGGCAUCUUCGAAAUCUUAAAGCUCCGGCGGUAAAAGAUGGGCAUGCGGUUGAUUAGCUAGUUGGUGAGGUAAUGGCUCACCAAGGCUUCGAUCAAUAGGGGGUCUGAGAGGAUGUCCCCCCACACUGGUACUGAGACACGGACCAGACUCCUACGGGAGGCAGCAGUAGGGAAUAUUGGACAAUGGGCGCAAGCCUGAUCCAGCCAUGCCGCGUGCAGGAUGAAGGCCCUAUGGGUCGUAAACUGCUUUUGUACGGGAAGAAACCUCACUACGUGUAGUGAGUUGACGGUACCGUGAGAAUAAGGAUCGGCUAACUUCGUGCCAGCAGCCGCGGUAAUACGAAGGAUCCAAGCGUUGUCCGGAUUUACUGGGUUUAAAGGGUGCGUAGGCGGACUUUUAAGUCAGUGGUGAAAGCUCGCAGCUUAACUGUGAAAUUGCCAUUGAAACUGAAAGUCUCGAGUGUGGUUGAGGUAACUGGAAUAUAUCAUGUAGCGGUGAAAUGCUUAGAUAUGAUAUAGAACACCAAUUGCGAAGGCAGGUUACUGAGCCACAACUGACGCUGAGGCACGAAAGCGUGGGGAUCAAACAGGAUUAGAUACCCUGGUAGUCCACGCCGUANACGUUGAAUACUCAAUCUUAGCGAUACACAGUUAGGAUCCAAGCGAAAGCGUUAAGUAUUCCACCUGGGAAGUACGUUCGCAAGAAUGAAACUCAAAGGAAUUGA